CCUACGGGUGGCAGCAGUGAGGAAUAUUGGUCAAUGGGCGGAAGCCUGAACCAGCCAAGUAGCGUGCGGGAUGACGGCCCUAUGGGUCGUAAACCGCUUUUGCCCGGGGACAACACCCUCCACGUGUGGCGUUCUGCAGGUACCGUGCGAAUAAGGCAUGGCUAAUCCCCUGCCAGCCGCCGCGGUAAUACGGAAGGACCGAGCGUUAUCCGGGUUCAUUGGGGUUAAAGGGAGCGUAGGCGGGCGUUCAAGUCAGCGGUAAAAUUGCGGGGCUCAACCGCGCCCCGCAGUUGAAACUGGACGCCUUGAGUGCACAACAGGCAGGCGGAAUUCGUGGUGUAGCGGUGAAAUGCAUAGAUAUCACGAGGAACCCCGAUUGCGAAGGCAGCCUGCCGGGGUGCGACUGACGCUGAGGCUCGAAGGUGCGGGUAUCGAACAGGAUUAGAUACCCGAGUAGUC
This 459-nucleotide ribosomal RNA is filed under the name uncultured bacterium. RNAcentral describes it as "partial 16S ribosomal RNA". It matches the Rfam family "Bacterial small subunit ribosomal RNA", at positions 338 to 795 of the family's 1533-position model. The record is from RNAcentral.